This is a long non-coding RNA of Cannabis sativa, 1577 nucleotides long. RefSeq lists it as uncharacterized. Lineage: Eukaryota; Viridiplantae; Streptophyta; Magnoliopsida; Rosales; Cannabaceae. The transcript has 2 exons. The record is from RefSeq and is a predicted model, not a curated record.
GUGGGUCUUGUACGUGUGCGUGAAUACUUAUUGAAGCUAUUCAAAUUCCAAAUGAAAUAAAGCCUAAGCUAAAGCCUACACGUGGGAGUAAAAUUCUCUAAAUCAAACAACAUAUUGAGACUAAGUUUCAAUGUUCAUUCGACUUGGUAUUUGAGAGAUUCUUCCUUAAACUAUGUUGACCGAUUAUAAGGUGAGAGGUUAGAGCUUUAUGUGGGUUAUUUAAUUAUUUUCAAAUCAUUACUUGAGUUAGUAGAGGGCCACGACAUGGUUAGUGAGGUGUGGUAUAGUUAAGUUCUAGGCUUAUAAAUAGAUCCAUAUUUCCUUAUUUUUUUCCUCACUCAAAGAAGCCAAACCUCUCAAACAUUCUCCCUCUCGUUCCUGUCAUUCCAAAAUCUUGUUCUUCCAUUUUCUUGUGCUCAUUUGUUUCAUCUAUAGCCAAAAUCUUACCCCACAAACAUCAUAUCAUCAUACACUACCUCAACCCAUAACCAUACACAACCAUAAUCAUCUCAUAUAUAUAUAUAUAUAUAUCUUUCAUCGUAUUGGCGUCACCAUCACCAUCAUUUUACAUUCAAGUUUUAGUGCUCAACUAGAUCUCAUAAGGUUUCAUAAGAAAAUUAUUGUUUCUCAAGGAUCACUCUUAUUGCAAUCAAGGCUAGGACUCCACAUUCGAGGUAAGGAAAUUAAGUAGAAAAAUAUAAGUUUUCUGUAUGUAAUAACAUUCAUAGAAAGAGUGGGAAUAGUAAAAGAGAAGUUAACUAAGGUCUUCUGCCUGACUCUUUAUUGUAUGUUAUUUAUUGUACUGUAUAAUAUAUAUUUAAAUAAUAUGUUUAUAAGAUUCAUGUUAUUUAUGUAUGUUUACAGUAUUAGAGCAUGGCCAUUGCUAAGGAUAUAUAUUUAAAUAAUAUGUUUAUAAGAUUCAUGUUAUUUAAGUAUGUAUGUAAAUAGUGUGUUUAUAAGAUUCACAUUAUUUAGUUAUGAUUGUUUUGUUAUUUAAAUAAUGUAUAGUAGUUUGCCAUUAUUUAAAUUAGGUAGAUUAUAAUGUGACAUGGUUUGACCGAGAAGAUAAUGGUUAAAUACUUGACUGUUGGAUCUAUAUGGUAGAUAGGGGGCCAUUUAGUAGUGGGUACGAUUUUACUGAACCCAGCCCUCCGCCAUUUAGUCCAAUAGCUCGAGUUUAUUUGCCAAAAUUGGACUCGGGCAUAAUCAUUAUUAUGUGAUUUAGCUUAGAACCUAAUUAUUAGUGACUAGUGAUAUGAUUAAGUUUAUGUUUUGCUAUCUGCCUAAAUAUUUGCAUGUGCAUUUUAAUUAAGUUUUAUUUUUAUUUAUGUGACUACCUGACACACAUUUCCUUACUGAGUUUAGUAGCUCACCCUUAUCAAAUUACCAUGUGCAGACCAAGGUAAUUGAAAGUCUAGAAUGUCGGUGGCGAGUGGAACUUUGGACGCUUGUGUGUGUGAACUCGCUGAGGGCCAUAUAACUGCGGGCGGUCUAGGGCACUCUAUUUAUUUAUUUAUGCUAUUAAGUUUAUGUCGCAAUUAUUUUAGUUAUUAUUUAUUAUGUCUUUUGUACAAAAA